Non-coding RNA from Anas platyrhynchos (mallard), 11703 nucleotides. NCBI's taxonomy places the organism in Eukaryota, Metazoa, Chordata, Aves, Anseriformes, Anatidae. The record is from RefSeq and is a predicted model, not a curated record.
CCAGGAGAGCCGUCAGUCAGGCAGAAAGGCGGGGCCUGGCGCGUCAGCGGCGGGCAGCAGCCGGGGGGCUGCCGAUGGUCCCGGCAGAAGAUGGCGGCCGCCGGCCGGGCCGGGCCCUGAGCAGCGCCGCGCCCGCUCCGCCCGCGGGGCCGAGGCCGCCGGGGGGCAGCGCCCGGCCCUGGCCGCACGGAAUCUGACCUGGAAGAAGCCAGCCAUGAAAGGUCACAGGAAUUUGUACCGCCUGUCUCCACAAUUACUAACAAGUGCCUUCCUGCUGGACCAUCAGUUUGAGAAGACGUUCGUAUAGAACUGCAGUCUGAAGACGAGGAGACCUUUGAAACUUGCCACCAGAAACAUAAUUCAGCCACCCCUGGGGUUUUUGACACCUCCAGUACCAACUUAGACCUGCAGAGUGAAGAUAAAGAUUUAGAGUUCCUCUAAACACUCAGAGGAACCUCAAGGAGGGAGAAGCAAGGAUGAUGCAAGCAUCAUUCUUAUUAAUGCUCUGGGGAGGAGGACCUGGAACCCAUCUCUAGAGAUGCUUUGACUUACAGGAGAAAGAAAUGCAAUGCCUGUUUCCAGGAUGCAAAUACCCGUUUUGAAAACCUGUGAGCUUUGUUAAGAAGAUCCACCGAGACAGCUGUCCAAUGUUCAGCAUAACUGCAACGCUGAAAGCAGGAGCAAUCUCUGCAAGAUCAUGUGGUGGUGCUGGAGAGUGAUGGUGACUGCAGGAAGCACCGCACCGCCCUUCACCAAGACACUUGGCUUGGCAGCACCAGCAGCAGGAGUGCGAUGUGAGGGCACGAAGUGGCUGCAGGCUGCAGGGGCUGGAAGGUGCAGGAAAAGCCAUGGCUGGAAGCGGUGAGGAAGACAACCCUGCCUUGGCAUUGAGUGCAGAACUGAGCUGGAUCCUUCACCUGCUUGCUCUGUGUCCUGAUCAUCCACAAGUCCUGGAAAAAAUACGUGGAGAGGGGAAAACAACGAACCCACGAACGCACUGCGUGCUGUCAGUGCCCUUCCCUGCAGCAGCGAUAAGGAAUAUGCAGGCUUUGCAGUGGGGGAAGGAGCCUGUUUCAUCCCAGCAGCAGAUGAUGCCUAUCUCCUGGACAUUGCCUGUGCCACGUAAACCUGCUGGGGCCCAGAUUGCUGCCAGCGUUAUAAACCUCUGUCGUUCUCUGGGUGCCGGUAAGCCUUAUCUCUUCCAGGGAAUCUUAAUUAACAGGGAGUGGACUUUGCCACCUGUAUUGUGUUCUAGAAACCUUCCUCAAGGUUCUUCACAGCCAAACGAACUGGGGAGGGUUUGAGAGGAUGAAGGAAAGGAAAAACAAAGCGGUUCUUCUAAUGCCACCCUGGGUGGGCACCGCUCCGGGAGCAGCUGCAGCUUGGGCUCAUGCUGACCCCCUGCUUGCAGGGCCGUACUUUGGCAAAGGAGAACAUCACGAGGGCCCUUCAUGGGCCUUUGACAACUUAAUGUCCAUCUCUGUGCUCCCAGGGAGUCAUUCACUGGUGGCCUGGGAAGGGGAAGGUCUCCAUUUUGUGCCCCAUCUAUGUGUGAGGAUGGGGUGGCCCUGCAGCCUGCCGUCCCCAUGCAGUGUGAGGAAAAUGCAGCACGUUUCUCUUGUGCUCACUGCAUGGGACGCAAAGUGCUGCUUAAACCCAGCAGCAUGCACCAUGAGGGUGCUGAGGGACCACGGCGGGUCGUGGAGAUGCCUCGGUCCCUCCAGGUGACCUCGAAGGCCUGGCGGGGCGGCUGUAGGCCCGGCGGCCAUGCUCAGAGGCCUGCAAAGCUUUGUGCUGCUCCGUCCCGUGUCCCCUUCAGCAGAGGGCACUGCGUGUCCGUGCACAGCCCUCCUGGCCACGGGGGGAUGUCCUCUCCAUGGCUGGGGCAGGCAUGGACCAGCUCCCUGCCCGGCAGCCCUCUCCCCCUGCUCCCCGACAGCCCCCGGCUUGGGGUGAUGGAAAGCUUGGGGCUGGUGAGGGGAAGGAGGAGGCGCUCGCCUCAGCGGCUGGCAAAUUUAGAUCAAACGGCAGGAAAUCCGCUCUCGGCCGUGCAGGAGGACUUGGAAAGCGCUGGUCCUGCAGGAGGUCGUCCAAGACAAACAGGGAGCUGCCUGACGGGGCGGCCCUGGGCGGCCAGCAGGAUGGGCGAGCGCCGGGGAGCUGGGACGGCCAAGCUGUAAAAGCAGCUGGGCUUCGUGCCUCGCUGCGGUCGCUGCAGGGGGGCAGGAUGGUGCCCCAGCCCAUCGCCGUCCCCUGAAGCCAUCUGCUGGUUUUUUUUGUACGUCAGAACGAGAUAUUUGUCAGAGAGGCAUCAGCGUGGGCCCCUGUGUCCUCCUUGGUGGGAGCCUGUGUUUGGGGACAGGCUUCGGGCUCUACUAAAGGGACAUGUUUGUGUGCAGACGGAGCUGAGCAUCCCAAAGGGGAAGGCUGGAAGUACCUGCUCCCCACAGGGAGCCAGGUGCUACCUCAGGCUUUGCUGUAUCACAACCAGCUUCGAUGCAGCAGGGACUUCUCCUCGGUGGAGGUCUCUUUGGCCACUGAGGCGGAGAUCAGAGUCCCGUGAGUGCUCUUUGAGGCAUGUCCUGCUGGCUUUCACGGGGCAGGGAGGGAGAGUGGCAGAACUGGGGAGCGUUUCCUCUCCAGUGUCUGUGCUGGGUGAAACCUGGGCUUGUCCGAGCACUCCAGGAACCUGCCUGGGAGCUCACUUCUUCACUGAAGCCUUAUCAAGAGAGUGAAGGUGAUUGUCCAGGCUUGCUGUCCUCAGGAGAUAGGCUGCUUGGGGCUUUCCAGCAGGCUGCAAUCAGCGGCUGCCCUCUGACAGCAGCGAAGAUAAAGGCCCCUGGAGGUCAGCAUGCUGCGGCAUAGCCAGAUGCUCAAUCCCCAGCAGAGGAGCUCAGCUCGCUCCCUCCAGCUCCCUGCUGGACACGGGAAGGGGAGAGGUCCUCAGGUGUGUCCAGCUGGCGGCCGGGAGGCUGCUCCGAGCCGAGAUAAGGACCUGUGGCUGUGCCAGCCCGCCAGAUGGACGCGGAGGUGAGCUCCAGCAAGCUCUGCACCGUGUCCGUCCUGCAGGAGCUGGGCUCACUGGCUUGCCAUCGGGAUGCAGCCUGGGAGGCUUUCCUCAGAUGAAGUGUUGGGAAAAGUCCUUGGCUGCUGGGCUCGCGGGGAUUGCACAGCCCUCGGGCUGAUGAAUGUGGACAAGACCUCUGCUCGCCGCUGGCAGGCAGCUGGUGUGAGUGCUUCCAGAAGGCAAUUGUUCUGUGCCUUGCAAACAGGUUGGGGUUAGGUUAUUUAGUGCCCGUCAGUCCCCUUAGGAGCCUGCCUCGGGGACCUUCCCUCUCAAUUGUUCGCAAUCUUCCACCGACUUCCAGCCCAAACGCAUCCGCGGCCGGCUUUUUGCUCAUUUGUUCUGGAGCCAGAGGCCAGUGCUGGCACAAACAGCCCUUCUCCCUGCCCGCGCUCCUCGAUGUUGAUUUGAAAUAGUCUUUCUUUGGCCUUGGGUUUCAGAGUGAUGCGUUUCAAAACCAGAAAUAAAUGGGCUUGAAAUAUUUCCCAUAAUUUUUUGCAAGAUCUUGACCCUCUGAUAGCAAGAUUAGAAUAAAGAUAACAAGAAAAUCAGCAUUCAGGCUGGAACCACUGUUGUUAAAGUAGACAACCCAGCAAAGCCAGUACUUUUUGUUUACAACUGAACUCAUGAAUUUUUAGAUAUUAAUGUAUGAAGGAUUGAGUAAACAACCAUUGUGCCUCUAAGGAAUGAGUCCCAGGCUGUCCUGAGCUGGAAUACUUUGUACUUUCCUGAUUGCCUUCCAAGAAUUUCAAAUUACUUUGUAGCAGAAAAACAAGCCUGCUUCACGAGACGUGUGCGAGCUUCUCGGGGCAGCCUUAAUUCAUCCAGGCUGUGAUGUUUUUGGGGCAGAGCUGUGCGUCAGGGCCCGGGACGCUGAGCACGGAGAUGUUCACGGUAAGGUGAGGACGAUGCAUGGAGAACAAACUGCUCACAACGGCAGAGCCAGCCAGGCUCUUCUCCUUUCAGGAGUAUCUGGGAUGCUCUCGGGCUUGGGUGCACAAGAUCAGCCCCAUGGACCAGGUGACAAAGGGAUGUGUGGCCAUGGCGUGUCCCCAUUGCCGUGCCAAGCUCUCCAGGAGGCUGCAGCCCGUGUUACGCACCCACAGGCUCCCCGGGCUUACCAGGGCGUUUCUGAGCACGGUGACCCUGACCACAGGCUGUGGUGUGCUUGCAAAUUGCCCCAUAUUCCUGGGUUUCCUAUGUGAGUGCUCUCCAGGAGCAGCCAGCCCCUUUUCUUCAACCAAAAAUAAUGUUUGGAAUUGGAGACCAGGGUGAUUUAAUGUCCCUGCCUCUCCUGCGCGGCCCCAGUGCCAUUUGCUUAAUGUUUGUACUGCUGUCAGUGCAGUCCUGCCCUGGCAUCGUGGCCACGCUUUGGCAGAGUGGGCAGGAUGGGUCCCUCGCUACCUGGGUCGUGCUUGGGUAUGGUUUCAAAGCCAGCAGCCUGGAGCUGUGGAAAGAGUCAUGAAUUCGGGUUACCAAACCAUCUGCUGGCUGCAUUUUGAGAAGCAAUUAAAGCAAAAUUGUUUCCAGCCCUUCUGUUUGCAAGAUGUAGUUUGAAGAGAGCUAGCCAAGCCAGGAUUUGCCUGAUCCUGCCACAGCUCCAAGUACGAGUUAAUUUGCUCUGGUACCCAUGGUGUGAGGCGAUGAGAUCUCCCCCGAGGAAGCGUGCCAGUAAGGGGCUGUUAGCAGAGAGGCUCCAAUGGCGUGAAACCCAUGGAACCUAUUUUGGUUACCGUAUUUAUUGCUUUUAAUCAGAAAUUAUUAAAUAGGGUAAAAAGUGUAGGGCGCAAGACCCCUUCUGUAGGGUGGAGGAUGGCGGGGAGGGGACUGCAUCGAGAUGCCCCUGCAGAGAUGCUCUGGUGGUGACCCUGGCACCCAUGGGGCCCAGACCCUGUGUCCAACAUCCUUCCCUGAUCCCAAGCCCCUUGGCUGUGCCUCCUCUUGGACACUGAAGCCGGUCCCCUGUGGGGACAGUUCGCCUUGGUGGCACCUCUUGUGACUGCUCCUGCAGCGCUCUGGGUGCAAGGCGGAGAGAAGAGGUGAGGUCUGAUGUUAUGGAGGUAUUUUUUAGGCUGAAACAUCUCUUUUUUUUCCAUCAGGAGAAGGCAGCAGCCUCAGUGCUGGGCUUUGAUGGAUGGCGGGGUGGGCUGUGGGAUGGCAUGGUGGUGGCUGGUGGUGUUGUGGGAUCCGAGCAUCACUAAUGGGCACAGCCAGCUGAACUGAGCCUGGGGAAAGGCUGCGUAUCAGGGGGAAAACAACCUCAAGGGGCUCAGAGGGAGGCAGGAGAGGGGUCCUUCUUGGCUGGUGGAGCGGGAUGCUGCUUGGUUUGCAAGAAAAGAGCCCUGAGAACAGUGCCGAGCUGAGCCGGCUGCUUAUGCAAGAGCUGGCAGUGGGGCCGGUUGUACCGAAAGCCAGCGGGUGCCAGCGGGGCGCGAGCGGCUCCGCGUCCUCCUGUUUGCUCAGCAGCUUUCGUGUGGCGGGGGAGCGGGGCGAGGGCGCGAGAUUCCUGCACACUGAACUCCUCUGUUCCUCUCGGCGGGGUAAACAGGACACAAAACAAAGCCCCGAGCCAGCGCUCGCCUCCGAGGUAGUGCCCUGCCAGCCCCCCGGAGUGCAUGGCGGUGAUGGGGCCGCGCUCAGCUCCUCCGGGGGGUUUCUGGAUGCUGGCGCCGUGGAUGGAUGGAUGAGGGUUGUCCAAGGGUGAGGAACCAGCAGGAAAAAAGGGGGUGAAGCACCCCAGAAAGCGUGGGCAGGGAUCAGACAACCAGGCCAGCAUCCUCAGAGAGCUGAGAUACGGUGAGCCCAGGCACCGUGCCAGUGCCAACCAGGUUGGGUGCCCCCUGCAAGGGGUUUCACCGUGCCCCUUUGUGGGGGACUGAGCCCCAUCGGAUGUGCGAGGAGGGAAUGAACGCCACCACUCUCUGCACUGAGCUCCCUGCACGGGGUGUCACUGCUCUCGCAAAGCCCUGCUGCUGUGUUUGCAAUUGCCCCGAAGGAGUGGUUUCCAGGCUCCCUCGUCCCCAUGCGAGAUGCCUGUCAGUGACAGAGGGCGAUGGGGCUGACCUCAGCCCUUUCCCAACGCGCUGUUAGCUAAUCCAGCUCCCCGGGGACACAGCUGUGGGGCUGGGCCCCCGCCAGCCCGAGCCUGUGCCAGCUCCCCUGCGUUUCCACAGCGCCACGAUUGCACCACCGCAGCCUUGUGCGGGGCAAGGUGAGGAGGCAGGGAGCAAGCGCUCACUGCUGCACCUCCACACGCUUCUGGGAGUUUCCUUUCAAGAAGGAUUUGCACCCAAGGCUCCCGUAGCUACCUUGAAGUCACCCGGUAGGGGAAAAGCACUGGCCAAGAGCGAGGUGUUUUGGUGCUGCUCUGUGUCCUGGCUGUCCUCCCCAUGGGAUGCUGAGGGUGUGUUAUCCCCAGCGCCCUGCCGUGCUCCUCGCAGCGCCUCGCGCAGCGGCACCGCUGGCUUCUGCUCCUCAAAGGAAGAGGUUUUCUGCCCUGAAAGCUCUUUUGCUUGCCAUGACCUGGGGGCUGCGUGCCCUGCCUGUAAAAACCUGUUGGAAAUGCAGAGGUAGGGAGGGCAGUGACCACGGGAUGCCAAACCCCAGGGAUGCAGCGAGGGAUGCAGGAGCGUGCCGGGGGUCUGGCAGCUCAGCCCCCCCCCUUCACCCCGCUCUGAGGCGCAAUGUGGUCACAAGCUGCGUUCGCAGGAAGGGAUCAAGCACUCAAAAGCAGCGCGGGAUCAAAGCUUUCUAAACACUCAGGGCAUUUGGCCCGGGAGGUUUUGUUCCAUCUAUUUAUAGCAGUGGGGCCAAGCGAGUUCAGAGUUGGAGGCAAACUUUUCCAAAGCUGGGGGACGUUUGGAGCGGGGAGGGGGGAAAGGGAGCUCGGCCAGGCCCGUCUCCAGCAGGCGUUGACUCCUUCCCUUAGGUAUGUGUUGCUCUCCAUGACACACCAACAACAAGCCCGCAUAGCAGCGCCCGGCCGAGGCUGCAGAGAUUGAAGCAAAAAUGUGAAUUGGCUGGGAAGGGGAACAUGAAAUAGAGAGUUUCCAAACAGCAAAGCCCAGUUUGAAAGUGAAAACGGUUUCCCUACCAGCAUGUUUCUGCCCCCGGGGCACCAUCCUUCAAUGACAAGUAUGCUGGUAUUGUUUUCCAGGGGAAGGCUGGUGAUGAUUUCAGGGCAAAAUAAAGGGAGAGGGCUUCCUGCAGCGUGUGCCGUGCUUAGAAAUGGAGAGGAGGGGUCUUCUAACCCUUCAAGGUGACACUUCGGUGAUGUAACCGAAGAACACGUUGUUUUUCUGUGCUGCUCCCUGUAGUCCAAGCCAAGCAAACAAACCCAGGAGCACAGAUGUGAAGCUGUGCCACGGUCACACCGCUGCCCUCGCAGGAGCUGGGGUUUCCUUGCAUCCACCAAGUGACUGGCGCUAGCAGUGCUUCAUAGCGAGGGGCACGAGCGGCACGCUUCGGAUACACAAAGCAGCUUUUGCAUGCCUAGAUCCCCUCUCUUGCUGGGAAGGCUCACUACAGGUUAUAAAAAUACCUCGCUAAUUACCAGGAGCUUCCUAGCAUGCCGCCAAACCUCCGCUGCUCUGUGGGAGCAGCAUCUCCGAGCUCGCUCCUCCAUGAGGAAAGGGUGCAAUUAGGCUCACAGGUAAUUAUAACCAGCGUAACGAGGGGGUGGCUUGAGGAAAGGGGGUUUGGCAGCCGGGUGGAGUCCAGCCCAGGUGCUCUCCUGGCCGGGGUGGUGCGGGGGUUUGGCACGCUGCUGCGGGCUGCAGGAGCUGGGUGCUGGGUUAGCGUGUUAGCGAGGCACACAAGUGUCCCACGUGCGUGCCCCGGGUUGUUUUCAGAGAGAGGAAUGCACAGCUGGAAGGAUUCCUUCCAUCUCCGCCACCAGAGGAGCUCUCCAGAGGCAGAGGGUGCCCAUCCUGGCUGGGGAAGCCGAAGCGUGCUCCUUCAGGGAACGCUGUGAGAGCCUGGUGGGUUUUUAGAGGGAAUGGGGUGACCUGGAAGGUGGGAGCAAUGACUGAUGCAGAGCUCAGUGGUGUAAAACAAGUCUUUGAGCUUGAGGAGCAAGAACGUACAAUAAGAGAGGACUUGACAUUGUCUGAAGGUGGCAGAGAAGAGCCUUGGACUAUCCACAGAUCUUGCCGUGACCAUAAGACACCGCCUGAGUGCCAUCAUGCGAAAGGUGGAUGCACUUUUAGGGGACUCUCGUUACAAGGUUUCUCCAUUGACACCAAAACCUUCAGGGAAGCCCCACCAAGACCUCUGCUGGAGCAGCAGGUACAGACCUUCCCCCAGAAGAUCAUCCUCUGGGUAACUGUCCUUCAGAUGGUCUUCAUCCCCCCGCAGAUCCUCCUGCCCCCAGGAAACGUGGGGCUGGAGCGAGCGCACGGCCAACCCCUGACCUGGUUGCUGGCUGUCCUUCCCCACCUUGGCUCUCCAGCUUGGCAGCAGCAGGCUCUCAGCCUGGUUUCCACCCCUACCAAGCAGCAGAAAAUGUUCUUUUUUUCCUCCUAAUGACGGUGACGAGCGUUCACCUCUCGCUCUGUACGUGUCCGUGCUCUGAAAGCCCGUCCUUGUGCUUGGUGCUGGUGUUCCCAGCUCCGGGCUUGGGAAGGGUGCACCAGCCAACUGGACAGUCCCCCGUUCCGCAAUUAACAGACAAAAUGCCCACCACUGUGGCUGGAAAGAGGUUUUAAUUAAAAUCCCUUGGUAUUGGCCCCAGCCGGACUGUGAAGAGGAGGAGGGCAGGGGCCUGGGUCAUGCCUUGGGUCACCCCAGCGGAGCAUCCCUGAGCUGGGGCUGGAGACAAGGCAGGGCCUGCUUUUUAAUUGCGUGCUUUUUUCUCUUUUCUUUUUCCCUUGGGUGACCUGCCCAGUGGACAUUUGCUGAUAGGAGCACAGAGAGCCCAGCCGACAAUUGGGACAGGUCCACAGGUCAUUUGAGUCCUAAUGAGGAACCCUGAAUGGACGCUCACAUCGCUCUCAAGGGAAAAGCACCUCGCCCUCUUCUCUAAUGAGCACGGCUCUCAAAAUCCCUUUGUCUUGGGCUUUGCUUGGCUCUCAGAGGUACACGGGGACACGUCUUCCAGGCUGCCCUCACCUUCCCUGCCUCCCUUUCCAGGACAGUGCCUCGCUGUGCUUGGUGGCCGGGGAGGAUUUGGUGGCAUUGCGAUGAGCAAAGUACGGGGCUGGUGGGGUCACAUGAUGCGGCUGGUUUGGGUCCGAGGCACCUUAAGACCACCUAGUUCCAGCCCCCAAAGUCCCAUUCAAUUUGGCCUUGGGCACCUCCAGGGAUGGGGAUACCCCCGGGUGGAUGAUCCCUCCGUGCACGUGCCCGUGAUGUGGUGGACGUGAGCUGCAGGUGCUGCUUGGAGUGAUGUCUGCUCCCCUGGGAAAAUUAACAACAAAAUCCCCAACAAAACACACACAGACAUCACCCGAAAACCCCCAGGAAGCUGGAAGCAGGACGGGGUCCCGCGUCACCCCGCUGGUUUCCAAAGUAGCCAGCCCCCUGGGCCUGUUUGUUCCCGCUGCUCGGGACAGUGAUGGAUUUUCUGGCCUGCAUGCUAACGAGCGGGCAGAAUUAAGAAAUAACAGCAGCUGAACGGGUGCCAGCCCCGCAGCUUGGCACUCCAGGGCCAACAUUAGGAUCUCACCAUCCCGUGUUACCCAUCAGCACGGCAUCGGGGCUGCUCCAAAAUAUAUUUUUUGAAAACUCGGGCUGCUCAAGUAACUUUUAGGGGUGAAAGCCCCCCUCGUUUUCAUGCUCCAGGCCCAGAGCCAGCCCUCGUGCAGCAGGAUGGAGCAGACAUCGGGCACCGGGAGUGGGGAGAGGGUUUUCCUUUUUGCUUGCUCUCUGGCCUAGAGAAAUCAAUGGGGUUUUACACGUAGAAGAAUAAAAUCAAUCCUUUCCUGCUGCCACUUCAGUUUCUCUCCCCGGAUUUGGGGUAUAAUUUUGGGGUGUAAAAUCCUCGGAGAGUCUCAGCGUGCACUGCUGAAGGAGGAGAUGGCACCGGGAUGAACCAAGGCUGGUGGCUUCAGCUCGCCCCACAGGCAGGGCAGGAGCAUCCAGUGGCAUCACCAAGGGCUCCUUGGGCAGAGCCGAGAGGGAGCCCGGCUCCCCAAAUGGCGCAGGGCAGCUGGAGAGCUGUGCUGCUUUGGGGAGCGCUGCGGGGAGCAGGCCUUCAGCCCUGCUGCCUGAAGAGGGGGCAGUUCACACGGCCAUCGCUCCCACCGGCCUAGAAAAUGGGAAAAAAGAAACCUUUAAAGCAGCUUAUUACGUCUCUGGCGCCUUUGGGGAUGGAGCCUGUUUGGAGAUGGGAGCCCUUUUCUGCUACGGCACCGUUGAUAAGGAAUAACCCAAGCCCUGGCUUGCUGGCGAGCUUUGCACAAGCAGGUGCAGAGCCCCACGCACACCCCAGCCCCUCUUCAAGCUCAGCACCCCCUGUCCCCCAAUAUCCCAUCAGGUAGGGGCCCACAGGCAGCUCUGUGCAUCCCUCCCCUCUCACCAAAACUGGUGUCAUCCCCAGGACACCUCUGCUGAGCCCAGAGGGCACGCGCACAAAGGUCCUCAUUAGCUGGGGAAAAAGACGUGGAAAGGCAUUAAAAAAUUUAGCACCUGCUCCAGGAUCUCCGUAGCUGAAGCUGAGAACCCACGCUGCAGGUUUGGAUGGAUAAAAAUCAACUGUGCUCCUGUGCAAGUCUCUGGAGGAGCUGGGCUUGGAGCACGGCUGCGCCGUGAGCUGGCUGGCUGCUAGGAUUCAGUGCAUGGCCAGACACAUCCCGUGCCUGUCCCAAAGAGGUGACAUUGCAAAAGGAAACCUGCCCAGAGGCAAAAAUGAAUCAGGCUGUGCCACGGUGGAGGCACAAACCCUGUCCUCCAGGCACGUGGAGCUCCUCUCCUGCUGCCCAGCACCUGGGGAUGCCCGGGCAUCCUCCAGCCCCACUGCACGGGGCACGGCGGGGACCGAGGGAAUAACGAGGUGCUGAAAAUAAGGAAGCAGCAGGCAGAAAAUAAAUCACUCGCGGGAGCCCAAGGCUGGGAGCUGCGUCGGGAGGCUCCGGCUGGCUACGCCCUGAUUUGUGGUCUGACCUCGGCCGCACUGAUUGAGCUGCUCAGGCCCUGGCUCGGCUGGCUGGAAAACCGAGAGGAAUAAAAAGCCGGACGGCGGGGCUGGGCCUGGAGUUUGCUUCUGCAGAUAAAUUGCCAGGAGGUGAGGAAAUUGGCGGCGUGGUCAAACAGCCUGUCCUGGUGGGAUGGCCAUGGGGAGGGAGCCGGAGGCAUCCGCUGGAGGAUGCUCACACCCCAGCAGGUGGCUGUAUCCGCCUCUCGCAGCAAAGAUUUUAUCUCGAGGCACCUCUGGCACCUGCAAAGCUUCUUUGGGGGGACCCCGAGUGAUGAAGGGAUUAUUAAAGCUCACGGGGAUGGAGCAAUAACCGCACCCUGCUCUCAUUUUCCCCACAGCCCCCAGCAGCAGGAGCAGGUUCCUUCUGUUCCUGAUCCCAUCUCUGGCCUUUCUGCGGCUGAAACAGCAAAAGCAAACGGAGAGUUGUACCCUGAGGAAUGGCGCGGAUGCAAGAAGCAGAAAAAAAAUCCCCUGUUAUAUAUAAAAAGACAUAUAUAAAUGCUCA